Molecule: unclassified non-coding RNA, 226 nt
Filed under: Glomus sp.
Lineage: Eukaryota; Fungi; Glomeromycota; Glomeromycetes; Glomerales; Glomeraceae
Description: partial internal transcribed spacer 2
Rfam family: 5.8S ribosomal RNA (bases 1-72)
Source: RNAcentral
GUGAAUCAUCGAAUUUUUGAACGCAAAUUGCACUCUCCGGUGUUCCGGGAUAGUAUGCCUGUUUGAUUGUCUGUUUAAAAAAUAAUCGAGGCUGCUGCUUUGUUUGCGCUUCGGAAUUGGGUCAUCUUCCACAUUUCGUUGUUGUAAGCGACCUAAAAUUUUUCUUACGAUUUCUACUAACGUUUCUAAGAAUUUCUUGUCCGUACGCGAAAUCGAAAUCAUAUUA